AGCUCCAAUAGCGUAUAUUAAAGUUGUUGCAGUUAAAAAGCUCGUAGUUGAAUUUGUGAUGUGUCCAGUCGGCCUUUGCUCUUUGAGUGAUUGUGCUGUUAUUGGUCCGUCAUGUUUGGGUGGAAUCUGUGUGGCAUUAGGUUGUCGUGCAGGGGAUGCCCAUCGUUUACUGUGAAAAAAUUAGAGUGUUCAAAGCAGGCUUAUGCCGUUGAAUAUAUUAGCAUGGAAUAAUGAUAUAGGACCUUGGUACUAUUUUGUUGGUUUGCGCACUAAGGUAAUGAUGAAUAGGGACAGUUGGGGGUAUUUGUAUUCCAUUGUCAGAGGUGAAAUUCUUGGAUUUUUGGAAGACAAACUACUGCGAAAGCAUUUACCAAGGAUGUUUUCAUUAAUCAAGAACGAA
RNAcentral lists this ribosomal RNA (400 nucleotides) under phytoplankton environmental sample. RNAcentral's name for it is "partial small subunit ribosomal RNA". It matches the Rfam family "Eukaryotic small subunit ribosomal RNA", at positions 587 to 987 of the family's 1831-position model. The record is from RNAcentral.